This 410-nucleotide ribosomal RNA is filed under the name uncultured Flavobacteriia bacterium. RNAcentral's name for it is "bacterial SSU rRNA". It matches the Rfam family "Bacterial small subunit ribosomal RNA", at positions 370 to 779 of the family's 1533-position model. Lineage: Bacteria; Pseudomonadati; Bacteroidota; Flavobacteriia. The record is from RNAcentral.
AAUGGACGAAAGUCUGAUCCAGCCAUGCCGCGUGCAGGAUGACAGCCUACGGGUUGUAAACUGCUUUUAUACAGGAAGAACACUCCGACGUGUCGGAGCUUGACGGUACUGUAAGAAUAAGGAUCGGCUAACUCCGUGCCAGCAGCCGCGGUAAUACGGAGGAUCCAAGCGUUAUCCGGAAUCAUUGGGUUUAAAGGGUCCGCAGGCUGUUUUUUAAGUCAGAGGUGAAAUCCUGCAGCUCAACUGUAGAACUGCCUUUGAUACUGGAAAACUUGAGUUAUUGUGAAGUGGUUAGAAUGUGUGGUGUAGCGGUGAAAUGCAUAGAUAUCACACAGAAUACCGAUUGCGAAGGCAGAUCACUAACAAUAUACUGACGCUCAUGGACGAAAGCGUGGGGAGCGAACAGGAUU